RNA transcript from Erigeron canadensis, 1211 nucleotides. It is a transcript of the gene named cyclin-dependent kinase C-2-like, with no coding region annotated. Lineage: Eukaryota; Viridiplantae; Streptophyta; Magnoliopsida; Asterales; Asteraceae. The transcript is spliced from 5 exons. The record is from RefSeq and is a predicted model, not a curated record.
AUGGAAUCCGAACAGGGGAAAUGCAGAAGAUAUGGAUGGACAAUGAGACGGAGGGGGUAACAGAUUUAUUAAUGGAGCAACCUUUUUUAAAAUGCACAUAUUAAAUUUAUGAGAACACAAACUUUUAUGGUGGAGGACUGGAGGUCCUGAGAAAGAAGAUCAAGGAAGGCCAGAUGGUAACAAAUAUAAGGGCGGCAUUUCAUUUCGUGCUGGAAUGAGAUUUUCUGUUCCACAGAUCAAGGUAACACCGAAAUUAAGUUGGCCUUUUCUCUAUAUUUGGACAGUCAAAUGAUAUACUUCACCUACUCCUCUUUUUUUAACGACAGGGCACUAUUGUCAUGUAUAUCAGUACUUAAUCGACCUAUUAAUUCAUUUUUUUUUUCUGUUUGAUUUCUUUUCUUGUUUAGUAUGGUACAAUACGAUUUAAAAUUGUAUUUCUGUUUAUGAAAAGUUAUAACUACGGAAACUCGACUGCUAAAUUGGUGUAAGGGUUUCGGUAGUUCGUUCUUUUUUAGUGAUGGCAAUAGCGGCAGUGGGUCAUGUGCUUUCCGGGGUGAUGACUGUUUCGAAAAGUUCGGUGAAGGAACUUAUUGUCUUUCCUCGUUGAUACUGAAGUUUUGUCUGAACUUACAAUUUUGUGCUGCAAUGUUGGUUUUUAGUCAAGUAUACAUGGCCAAGGAAAUCCGAACAGGGGAAAUUGCUGUUCUGAAGAAGAUAUGGAUGGACAAUGAGAGGGUCCUGAGAAAGAAGAUCAAGGAAGGCAAAGCAAGUGUUCACAUUCAGUAUUUGCUAGACAACAUUUUAUUUGGUCAUAAAAACUUUUAGCUGUCAAUUUGGUUUCUUGAAAUUGAUUUGCUUAAACUAUAUAUAUGCAGAUGGUAUCAUGGUAACAAAUAUAAGGGCGGCAUUGUAUUUCAUCCAGGAAUGAAAAUUAAGUUCCCGUUUGCUCUAUUUUUGGACGGUCAAAUGGUAUACUUACCUACUCUUCUUAAAGGGCAGGGCUUCACGCCUUCACUAUUGUCAAGUAAAUCAAGUACUAAAUCAAGUACUUAAUCGUGACAGUAAACUGAGUAAAGGUAUUGUCAUUGCAAGUAUUAAAUUUAUGAAAUUGUGAACAAGACAAAUGAAUAUUGAGACAAUUCUAAUACAUUUAUUAGCUGAAAUCUAUGAUUUCUGAAGUGCGGAUUGAUUCUGCAUAUUUUUUUUGGUAA